Molecule: ribosomal RNA, 253 nt
Filed under: uncultured bacterium
Lineage: Bacteria
Description: partial 16S ribosomal RNA
Rfam family: Bacterial small subunit ribosomal RNA
Source: RNAcentral
UACGUAGGGUGCAAGCGUUGUCCGGAAUUAUUGGGCGUAAAGGGCUCGUAGGCGGUCCAUCACGUCGGGAGUGAAAAGCUGGGGCUUAACCCCAGUCCUGCUUCCGAUACGGGUGGACUAGAGGUAGGCAGGGGAGAACGGAAUUCCUGGUGUAGCGGUGAAAUGCGCAGAUAUCAGGAGGAACACCGGUGGCGAAAGCGGCUUCCUGGUCCAGCACCGACGUUCAGGCACGAAAGCGUGGGGAGCAAACAGG